This is a long non-coding RNA of Parus major (Great Tit), 2047 nucleotides long. RefSeq lists it as uncharacterized. The record is from RefSeq and is a predicted model, not a curated record. NCBI's taxonomy places the organism in Eukaryota, Metazoa, Chordata, Aves, Passeriformes, Paridae. The transcript is spliced from 2 exons.
CACCCCUGAAGCCACCGCACCCCCCCCAGACCACCGCACCCCCGCGGCCAUCGCACCCCCGAGGCCACCGCACUCCCCGGGCACAGCAGUGACCGUGGCCGCAUCCCCGGGGAACGCUGCGGAACGAGCGGCGCUGGAUCGCCACGGGAGGAAGAAGCCGCUCUCCCCCCGCCGCUCUCGACUGGGACCGGGGCCCUGCUCGGGUCGCUCAUCCGACACCUGCCGGAGAAGAAUGGACUCUCUGUCCUCAGAGGGAAACACAACCUAAUGGGACACAGCUCUGGCACCACAUUUCCUCUUGUUCCUGCUGUCCUGGAAAGGCACAGGUAACUCCAGCCCCUCAGACCCUGCAUCCCUGAGCACCAGGAGAGCUGGAUUUUUACCCGGAUUCCUGCACGGUGGCACUACUGCGAGCACAGGCUGACUGCUCCUCCCAGCACCAUCCAUCAUUUUCACUGUUCCCACAUCCUCCCAAACCUCACCUGCAUCUGUGCAGGGCCAGGGUGUGCCCUGAGGGUGUCACCCAGCGCUGCCCCAGCUGCCACCCCUAGGAGAGCUGGCAAUAACCACAGACAGCGACCUCGCUCCACAGAUUAGUGAGUCCUUCCAAAGACGGCAGCAUUAGCUGUGGUAGGGACAGAAAAUGGCUUGGAAAGGCAUCUCUUCGGCUGCCUGACCCCCAACCCCGACUCCAGCCCGGACCCCACGUUUUCAGCACGCUUUCCUGCAGUGCUGUGGGUCAGAGAGAAGGGGAACAACUUUUGAUUAUCUUGAAAUUUUUCCAGCCCAAAGUGGGAUGUCGCCUUGCCCCUCCCUAAAGCGCUGCAGACACAUGGGAGUAGCUCAGAGCUGGCCCAGUUCUCUGAGAAAUAAUAAUGCCUGAGGGGUCAAAGUGUUAAGGACAGCUUGUCUCAGUGGCAAAUAUUCGGUCCUACAGUCCCAGACUGGUGAGGGAAGAAAAGAACUUCUGUUAUUAGUGGAAAAGCUUCUGUUAUUCCUUCUGCAGUCUUUUAAUUCAGUGGUCUGAUUUACUGUCCAGUAUCUUUCUGACAAGACUUGUCAGAGAUUUAGACUUGGGGAUGGAAUUUGGGUCUGUUUAUUACAAAAUCUUGCCAAGCCUGAAGGCCUGGCCUGACCACUGCUCUCAGCAAAGGUUCCUUGUUAUUCCUCUGUCAGAUUUCCCUCAGCACUGGGCAGGAAAGGUUUGAAUUCUGCAAGUGGCACCUGUGUGACUGUGGGCUUCUUGUGUGCGUGUCAGGGAGCCAGGGCUGGGACCAGGACUUGUGCUGGAGCCAUUGCCCUAUGGAGCCAUUUUAAAGGUCUGAUCCUAGAAUGUUUUGGAGCCUGUUUCCAGAGCUCCAUUUCUAAUGGAUCUCACUCCAAGUGCAGCAGUCCAGGGGAGGGCUCUGACCUCUCCAUACUUGUGCUCAGCCAGGCUGCGGCUGACGCUGGCCCAGACUGGGGCUGGGGCGUGUUUUCAGGGAACUGGAGACCAGUAAGGACUGGUGCUCUGGAAAGCAGGGAUCUCCAGGGACUGGCUUUUGCAAAGCUGAAAUGCAGUUUGUAAAAGCUGCCCAAAAUCCAAAUUCCUGUGUUUUCUGUGGAGGACUUGAAAUCAGAACUGUCCCUACAUGUGGCAUGAUCUGUGUGGUUAAAACAAAGUCCCAGCCCCAGAGGAUGAUGGUUUCUGCUCAUUCCUGUCCCCAGUUGUCCCCAGUGUGUUGCUGAUCCAGAGGGAUCUGCUCUGUUUUCAGGCUGUCCAAACCCUGGUUGCUGCAGUCCCCAACGCCUGAGACAGAGAGAGCCCUGGUCAGAGUGGCCAGUGUCACUUCAAAAGAAAGGAAAUGCACCAAACUUACUGUGGGGCAGGAACUACUCUGUGCUUUCUUCAGUUUUAAAAUUGUUAGUAAAUUCCUGAUGUGUAAUUACUUAAUGCUGCCUAUAAAGAGAGAUUUUCCUCACCGCUAUUUAUGGAUUGUUAUAUACAAAUGCACAUAACUUUAUGAAGGAAAUCAGGAAGUAAAAACCAACACCCUCUGCUACAUUA